CAGUCGCCGCGGUAAUACGAAGGGGGCUAGCGUUGCUCGGAAUUACUGGGCGUAAAGGGAGCGUAGGCGGACAUUUAAGUCAGGGGUGAAAUCCCAGAGCUCAACUCUGGAACUGCCUUUGAUACUGGGUGUCUUGAGUGUGAUAGAGGUAUGUGGAACUCCGAGUGUAGAGGUGAAAUUCGUAGAUAUUCGGAAGAACACCAGUGGCGAAGGCGACAUACUGGAUCAUUACUGACGCUGAGGCUCGAAAGCGUGGGGAGCAAACAGGAUUAGAUACCCGAGUAGUCCCUGUCUCUUAUAC
Molecule: ribosomal RNA, 301 nt
Filed under: uncultured bacterium
Lineage: Bacteria
Description: partial 16S ribosomal RNA
Rfam family: Bacterial small subunit ribosomal RNA
Source: RNAcentral